GAUGAACGCUAGCUACAGGCUUAACACAUGCAAGUCGAGGGGAAACGACAUCGAAAGCUUGCUUUUGAUGGGCGUCGACCGGCGCACGGGUGAGUAACGCGUAUCCAACCUGCCCACCACUUCGGGAUAACCUUGCGAAAGUAAGACUAAUACCCAAUGACGUCUCUAGAAGACAUCUGAAAGAGAUUAAAGAUUUAUCGGUGAUGGAUGGGGAUGCGUCUGAUUAGCUUGUUGGCGGGGUAACGGCCCACCAAGGCGACGAUCAGUAGGGGUUCUGAGAGGAAGGUCCCCCACAUUGGAACUGAGACACGGUCCAAACUCGUACGGGAGGCAGCAGUGAGGAAUAUUGGUCAAUGGACGAGAGUCUGAACCAGCCAAGUAGCGUGCAGGAUGACGGCCCUAGGGGUUGUAAACUGCUUUUAUAAGGGAAUAAAGUGAGUCUCGUGAGACUUUUUGCAGGUACCUUAUGAAUAAGGACCGGCUAAUUCCGUG
This 492-nucleotide ribosomal RNA is filed under the name uncultured bacterium. RNAcentral's name for it is "partial 16S ribosomal RNA". It matches the Rfam family "Bacterial small subunit ribosomal RNA", at positions 28 to 507 of the family's 1533-position model. The record is from RNAcentral.